CCUACGGGAGGCAGCAGUGAGGAAUAUUGGUCAAUGGGCGCGAGCCUGAACCAGCCAAGUCGCGUGAGGGAGGACGGCCCUACGGGUUGUAAACCUCUUUUGCCGGGGAGCAAAGGGCGCCACGUGUCGCGUCACUGAGUGUCCCCGGAGAAAAAGCAUCGGCUAACUCCGUGCCCGCAGCCGCGGUAAUACGGAGGAUGCGCGCGUUAUCCGGAUUUAUUGGGUUUAAAGGGUGCGUAGGCGGAUCGUUAAGUCAGUGGUCAAAUUGAGGGGCUCAACCCCUUCCCGCCAUUGAAACUGGCGAUCUAGAGUGGAAGAGAAGUAUGCGGAAUGCGUGGUGUAGCGGUGAAAUGCAUAGAUAUCACGCAGAACCCCGAUUGCGAAGGCAGCAUGCCGGCUUCCGACUGACGCUGAAGCACGAAAGCGUGGGGAUCGAACAGGAUUAGAUACCCCAGUAGUC
RNAcentral lists this ribosomal RNA (460 nucleotides) under uncultured bacterium. RNAcentral's name for it is "partial 16S ribosomal RNA". It matches the Rfam family "Bacterial small subunit ribosomal RNA", at positions 338 to 795 of the family's 1533-position model. The record is from RNAcentral.